This 191-nucleotide ribosomal RNA is filed under the name uncultured Tulasnellaceae. Its description in RNAcentral is "partial large subunit ribosomal RNA". It matches the Rfam family "Bacterial large subunit ribosomal RNA", at positions 1827 to 2048 of the family's 2925-position model. The record is from RNAcentral. Lineage: Eukaryota; Fungi; Basidiomycota; Agaricomycetes; Cantharellales; Tulasnellaceae.
UAAGAUGAAAAUACUUGUAUAGUUGUCGAAUUUUGCCCAAUGCCAUUAACAUAAAUGAAAGUCUGGUCAAUGGCGGUCUUAACCAUAAGGAUCCAAAGGUAGCAAAAUUCAUUGUCCGCUAAAUACGGUCCUGCAUGAAUAAAGUAACGAUUGCGCCACUGUCUCUACAAGCAUCUCAGUGAAAUUGAAUU